AAAACUUUCAACAACGGAUCUCUUGGUUCUGGCAUCGAUGAAGAACGCAGCGAAAUGCGAUAAGUAAUGUGAAUUGCAGAAUUCCGCGAAUCAUCGAAUCUUUGAACGCACAUUGCGCCCGCCAGUAUUCUGGCGGGCAUGCCUGUUCGAGCGUCAUUUCAACCCUCAAGCGCUGCUGCUUGGUGUUGGGG
This 191-nucleotide ribosomal RNA is filed under the name [Verticillium] pseudohemipterigenum. RNAcentral describes it as "Verticillium pseudohemipterigenum 5.8S ribosomal RNA". The stretch from base 3 to 156 matches the Rfam family "5.8S ribosomal RNA". Rfam says of the family: 5.8S ribosomal RNA (5.8S rRNA) is a component of the large subunit of the eukaryotic ribosome. The record is from RNAcentral. Lineage: Eukaryota; Fungi; Ascomycota; Sordariomycetes; Hypocreales.